This 330-nucleotide ribosomal RNA is filed under the name uncultured eukaryote. Its description in RNAcentral is "partial 18S ribosomal RNA". It matches the Rfam family "Eukaryotic small subunit ribosomal RNA", at positions 1470 to 1796 of the family's 1831-position model. The record is from RNAcentral.
CCCCUAGACGUUCUGGGCUGCACGCGCGCUACAAUAAUACGCACAGCGAGUAUCACCGAGCUCGAAAGGGCAAGGUAAACAAUAGAAAAGGUACUGUAAUGGUUAUAGAUCCUUGUAAUUAUUGAUCUUCAACGAGGAAUUCCUAGUAAGUAUGUGUCAUCAUCACGCACUGAUUACGUCCCUGCCCUUUGUACACACCGCCCGUCGCUACUACCGAUUGAAUGGUUCAGUGAGAUAAUCGGACAGAAAACUUGGCAACUGGCAACAGUUGACGUGCAUUUUUGGAAGACGAUCAAACUUGGUCAUUUAGAGGAAGUAAAAGUCGUAACA